Molecule: small RNA, 78 nt
Filed under: Serratia proteamaculans
Lineage: Bacteria; Pseudomonadati; Pseudomonadota; Gammaproteobacteria; Enterobacterales; Yersiniaceae
Description: Alpha_RBS
Rfam family: Alpha operon ribosome binding site
About the family: The bacterial alpha operon ribosome binding site is surrounded by this complex pseudoknotted structure. Translation of the mRNA produces 4 ribosomal protein products, one of which (S4) acts as a translational repressor by binding to the nested pseudoknot region. The mechanism of repression is thought to involve a conformational switch in the pseudoknot region and ribosome entrapment.
Source: RNAcentral
UAGCUGCAACAUUAUUUGAGUAUCCUGAAAACGGGCUUUUCAGAAUGGUGUUGCCGUAUAAAAUAGUAGGAGUGCAUA